RNAcentral lists this ribosomal RNA (300 nucleotides) under uncultured Slackia sp. RNAcentral's name for it is "bacterial SSU rRNA". It matches the Rfam family "Bacterial small subunit ribosomal RNA", at positions 495 to 795 of the family's 1533-position model. The record is from RNAcentral. Lineage: Bacteria; Bacillati; Actinomycetota; Coriobacteriia; Eggerthellales; Eggerthellaceae.
GGGAAGCUGUGGCAGGCAGGGCGUGUGAGACUGAGGUGGGAAGCGGUAAGCGGAAGUACGUGGCGUAAAGCGCGCGUAGGUGGUGCGUUAAGUUGGAUGUGAAAGCCCCGGGCUCAACCUGGGAAGUGCAGCCAAAACUGGCGGGGUAGAGGACGGUAGAGGGUGGUGGAAUUUCCUGUGUAGCGGUGAAAUGCUUAGAUAUGAUGUAGAACACCAAUUGCGAAGGCAGUUCACUAAGUCACAACUGACGCUGAGGCACGAAAGCGUGGGGAUCAAACAGGAUUAGAUACCCGUGUAGUC